RNAcentral lists this ribosomal RNA (253 nucleotides) under uncultured bacterium. RNAcentral's name for it is "partial 16S ribosomal RNA". It matches the Rfam family "Bacterial small subunit ribosomal RNA", at positions 524 to 776 of the family's 1533-position model. The record is from RNAcentral.
UACGUAGGGAGCAAGCGUUGUUCGGAAUUACUGGGCGUAAAGCGUGCGCAGGCGGUUUUGUAAGACUGACGUGAAAUCCCCGGGCUUAACCUGGGAAUGGCAUUUGGGACUGCAAGGCUUGAGUGCGGCAGAGGAGACUGGAAUUCCUGGUGUAGCAGUGAAAUGCGUAGAUAUCAGGAGGAACACCGAUGGCGAAGGCAGGUCUCUGGGCUGACACUGACGCUCAUGCACGAAAGCGUGGGGAGCAAACAGG